UUAAGCGACUAAGCGUACACGGUGGAUGCCCUGGCAGUCAGAGGCGAUGAAGGACGUGCUAAUCUGCGAAAAGCGUCGGUAAGGUGAUAUGAACCGUUACAGCCGGCGAUGUCCGAAUGGGGAAACCCAGUGCAAUUCGUUGCACUAUCGUUAACUGAAUACAUAGGUUAACGAGGCGAACCGGGGGAACUGAAACAUCUAAGUACCCCGAGGAAAAGAAAUCAACCGAGAUUCCCCCAGUAGCGGCGAGCGAACGGGGAGCAGCCCAGAGUCUGAAUCAGCUUGUGUGUUAGUGGAACGGUCUGGAAAGUCCGACGGUACAGGGUGAUAGUCCCGUACACCAAAAUGCACAGGCUGUGAACUCGAAGAGUAGGGCGGGACACGUGGUAUCCUGUCUGAAUAUGGGGGGACCAUCCUCCAAGGCUAAAUACUCCUGACUGACCGAUAGUGAACCAGUACCGUGAGGGAAAGGCGAAAAGAACCCCGGCGAGGGGAGUGAAAAAGAACCUGAAACCGUGUACGUACAAGCAGUGGGAGCACCUUCGGGUGUGACUGCGUACCUUUUGUAUAAUGGGUCAGCGACUUAUAUUCUGUAGCAAGGUUAACCGUAUAGGGGAGCCGCAGGGAAACCGAGUCUUAACUGGGCGUUAAGUUGCAGGGUAUAGACCCGAAACCCGGUGAUCUAGCCAUGGGCAGGUUGAAGGUUGGGUAACACUAACUGGAGGACCGAACCGACUAAUGUUGAAAAAUUAGCGGAUGACUUGUGGCUGGGGGUGAAAGGCCAAUCAAACCGGGAGAUAGCUGGUUCUCCCCGAAAGCUAUUUAGGUAGCGCCUCGUGAACUCAUCUUCGGGGGUAGAGCACUGUUUCGGCUAGGGGGUCAUCCCGACUUACCAACCCGAUGCAAACUACGAAUACCGAAGAAUGUUAUCACGGGAGACACACGGCGGGUGCUAACGUCCGUCGUGAAGAGGGAAACAACCCAGACCGCCAGCUAAGGUCCCAAAGUCAUGGUUAAGUGGGAAACGAUGUGGGAAGGCACAGACAGCCAGGAUGUUGGCUUAGAAGCAGCCAUCAUUUAAAGAAAGCGUAAUAGCUCACUGGUCGAGUCGGCCUGCGCGGAAGAUGUAACGGGGCUAAACCAUGCACCGAAGCUGCGGCAGCGACACUAUGUGUUGUUGGGUAGGGGAGCGUUCUGUAAGCCUGCGAAGGUGUGCUGUGAGGCAUGCUGGAGGUAUCAGAAGUGCGAAUGCUGACAUAAGUAACGAUAAAGCGGGUGAAAAGCCCGCUCGCCGGAAGACCAAGGGUUCCUGUCCAACGUUAAUCGGGGCAGGGUGAGUCGACCCCUAAGGCGAGGCCGAAAGGCGUAGUCGAUGGGAAACAGGUUAAUAUUCCUGUACUUGGUGUUACUGCGAAGGGGGGACGGAGAAGGCUAUGUUAGCCGGGCGACGGUUGUCCCGGUUUAAGCAUGUAGGCUGGUUAUCCAGGCAAAUCCGGAUAAUCAAGGCUGAGGUGUGAUGACGAGGCACUACGGUGCUGAAGUAACAAAUGCCCUGCUUCCAGGAAAAGCCUCUAAGCAUCAGGUAACAUCAAAUCGUACCCCAAACCGACACAGGUGGUCAGGUAGAGAAUACCAAGGCGCUUGAGAGAACUCGGGUGAAGGAACUAGGCAAAAUGGUGCCGUAACUUCGGGAGAAGGCACGCUGGUGUGUAGGUGAAGUCCCUGCGGAUGGAGCUGAGACCAGUCGAAGAUACCAGCUGGCUGCAACUGUUUAUUAAAAACACAGCACUGUGCAAACACGAAAGUGGACGUAUACGGUGUGACGCCUGCCCGGUGCCGGAAGGUUAAUUGAUGGGGUUAUCCGUAAGGAGAAGCUCUUGAUCGAAGCCCCGGUAAACGGCGGCCGUAACUAUAACGGUCCUAAGGUAGCGAAAUUCCUUGUCGGGUAAGUUCCGACCUGCACGAAUGGCGUAAUGAUGGCCAGGCUGUCUCCACCCGAGACUCAGUGAAAUUGAACUCGCUGUGAAGAUGCAGUGUACCCGCGGCAAGACGGAAAGACCCCGUGAACCUUUACUAUAGCUUGACACUGAACAUUGAGCCUUGAUGUGUAGGAUAGGUGGGAGGCUUUGAAGCGUGGACGCCAGUCUGCGUGGAGCCAACCUUGAAAUACCACCCUUUAAUGUUUGAUGUUCUAACGUUGGCCCCUUACCGGGGUUGCGGACAGUGUCUGGUGGGUAGUUUGACUGGGGCGGUCUCCUCCCAAAGCGUAACGGAGGAGCACGAAGGUUAGCUAAUCCUGGUCGGACAUCAGGAGGUUAGUGCAAUGGCAUAAGCUAGCUUGACUGCGAGCGUGACGGCGCGAGCAGGUGCGAAAGCAGGUCAUAGUGAUCCGGUGGUUCUGAAUGGAAGGGCCAUCGCUCAACGGAUAAAAGGUACUCCGGGGAUAACAGGCUGAUACCGCCCAAGAGUUCAUAUCGACGGCGGUGUUUGGCACCUCGAUGUCGGCUCAUCACAUCCUGGGGCUGAAGUAGGUCCCAAGGGUAUGGCUGUUCGCCAUUUAAAGUGGUACGCGAGCUGGGUUUAGAACGUCGUGAGACAGUUCGGUCCCUAUCUGCCGUGGGCGCUGGAGAAUUGAGGGGGGCUGCUCCUAGUACGAGAGGACCGGAGUGGACGCAUCACUGGUGUUCGGGUUGUCAUGCCAAUGGCACUGCCCGGUAGCUAAAUGCGGAAGAGAUAAGUGCUGAAAGCAUCUAAGCACGAAACUUGCCCCCGAGAUGAGUUCUCCCUGAGACUUUAAGUCUCCUGAAGGAACGUUGAAGACGACGACGUUGAUAGGCCGGGUGUGUAAGCGCAGCGAUGCGUUGAGCUAACCGGUACUAAUGAACCGUGAGGCUUAACCUU
RNAcentral lists this ribosomal RNA (2901 nucleotides) under Klebsiella pneumoniae. RNAcentral describes it as "bacterial LSU rRNA". It matches the Rfam family "Bacterial large subunit ribosomal RNA". Lineage: Bacteria; Pseudomonadati; Pseudomonadota; Gammaproteobacteria; Enterobacterales; Enterobacteriaceae. The record is from RNAcentral.